This is a non-coding RNA of Mustela lutreola (European mink), 485 nucleotides long. Lineage: Eukaryota; Metazoa; Chordata; Mammalia; Carnivora; Mustelidae. The record is from the annotation of a RefSeq genome assembly.
UCUUGUCAGGGCCCCCGAGGAGCAGCCUCUAGUCCAGCUCUCUGAGAUGGGGUCCGGGACUCCCCUGCUAUGGAUCCUGCUGCUCUGGGCUCCAGGCUGCUCUGGGGACAUUGUGCUGACCCAGUCUCCAGCCUCUUUGACUGUGUCUCCAGGACAGAGGGCCACCAUCUCUUGUAAGACCAGUCAGAACGUUGGUGACAUUUGGGGCAUGACACACUAUAUUACAUGGUAUCAACAAAAAUCAGGACAGCGUCCGAGAAUGCUGAUUUAUAAAGCAUCCAGUCAAGCAUCUGGGGUCCCAGCCCGCUUCAGUGGCGGUGGGUCUGGGACUGAAUUCAGUCUCACAAUUGAUCCCGUGGAGGAUGGGGAUGCUGCCAACUAUUACUGCAAGCAGAGCAAGGAGACACCUCCCACGGUGCUCUGGGUCUAAACAAAAACCUCCUCAAGUGGCUGCUCAGUCAUUUCAAUGAAAAAAAAAAAAAAAA